Molecule: long non-coding RNA, 1949 nt
Organism: Nicotiana tabacum (common tobacco)
Lineage: Eukaryota; Viridiplantae; Streptophyta; Magnoliopsida; Solanales; Solanaceae
Source: RefSeq, a predicted model, not a curated record
CGUAAAUGGUCGCGUUUUGGACGGUUAUUGGCCAUUACCGACCAAAGUUGGUCGGUUUUUUUGGUCGGUUUUUACCGGAUUUGUAGUAAUGCAUGCGAGACUCAUUUAUCUUAUCAGAUGGUUUAGUGUAUAGAUGGACAAUUUUGAUUGGCUUGAUGUUGCUGAUGUUCCAUUUUUCUUUUUCCUCCUAUUUUCUCAUAAGGAUUCAUGUACCUAAUCUUUGAUUGGCUUAGAGUAAAUCAUUUCAAUCUUCUCCUGGAAGAAUACAUAAUUUGAGCUAACUGAUGCAAAACCUGCUAUUAAACCACCAAAUGAUGUCUUUUUGAAAUGGAAUGGAAUGGACCCUUUUCUGGCAAUGGAAAUGGUGUCUUUUUUUCUUUUGAGAUUAUUGUUUUCCUUUUGCCUUUCUUCUCAUUCUUAAAAUUCCUAUAUUUAAUCUGUUGAUUAUGUAAUCACCUAUUCACCCCACUUGCGGGAUUAUAUAUGUAAUCAACCUAUUCAAUCUUAAGGAAAAAGAAAAUGUUAACAUUGGAUGGCUUCAAGUAAGGGAUACGGUUCAUAUAAGUGAAAGAUCUUAGAUAAACUGCAAAUAUGAAUAAGAAUUAGUAAAUCGAACCCUUACGUAGACAAAUUUAUACCAAAUGUUCAGCGCCCGAAAUGAAUACAUAGAGGUGUUUCUUGUUGUUCUCUUCUUUCUUGGUCAUAAAGAAAAUAAGCAAGCUCAUUUAUUUUAUUCUACUAAUAAGGCCCCAGCCUCCACAGUAUCUACAUCUCCCACUUUUUGUCCUAUUAUCUGCAAUAGAAAAAAAUUGAAUGACAUUGAGCAGAGGGUCUAGUGGAAACAACCUCUCUACUUGCACAAGGUAGGGAUAAGGUCUGUGUACUCAUUGCCCUCCCCAGACCCCACUUAUGGGAUUACACUGGAUUGUUGUUAUUGUUGUUUUAUGGGAUUGUUGCUAUUGAAGUGUGUGUAUCUUAUCGUGUAAAAACUUCAAUUUAAUAGUUUUGCAUUUGCAACACUCCCUCUGUUUUUUUUUCUUGAUCGGUGAUGGUGAGGCUCGAAACCAGAACUUCAGUCUAUUCUGAUAUGCUCUAAUAUCAUACUGAAGUGUAUGAACUAUCUAAUCUACGAUGUUAUCUGAAUUGUAUGGACGGCUAGUUUAAAAGUUUAAACUGUUAGAGAAGGGAUACUCUUUUUUAUUAAUUUUUAGGUCUACUACAAUAGCAGAAAAUUGUUAAAAAGUGUCACAAAAAUGAUGAGUGUGCCAUGAUAGCUGGUUGAGUAAUGUACGAAAAACUCUGAAUGAUAUUGCAAUACUGAAAAAGCCUCAUUUGAAUUGCUCUCGCCUGAGUUUGUUAUUUUAUUUUGAGAGAUAUUUAAAGAAUGUAUUUAACUAGUUCGAUAUCCAGCUGGCUUCAAACAGUUUCGGCUUCCAUAGCCUUGCAGCCUAUUCUUUUGUAUUUGCUUCCCCUGGGCACCGGUCUUGGUAACAUUAAUAGGUGCUUGGGAGGAUAGAAUCCUGUUUUGAGCUGAGCCUCUAUUGCCAAAGAAAAAAGGGAAAAAGAAGUAGAAGAACUACCGACCAAAAGGAAAAAAAAGGAUUAACUUUUGAGGUUCAUUAUACUAUUGGAACAAAAGUUGCGUUAUUGUUUAGCCUGUGAGAAUUCUUACAGAUGUGAUUGUUAUGGGUUCUGGAAUAGUGGUAAGGGCCUUUGCUCAGGCAUGUCAUCAGGCACUUGCAAAUUCCUCAAAGAACCAGUGCCGCCCAUGAAGCAAUACACAAUAUAAAUGAGCAAGCAAAAAAUCAGAGGCUACACAAAUUCUUGGUUUGCGGAGCAUUCAUCAUGGGAGGACGCGUUGCAGGUUUUUCUCAUUGCGAUUGCUGUUUUUGUUUUUUGUGUUGGAGCGCAUUGCACUUGAAUUCUUCUCUUUAUCUAUAUUUUCGCCA